Molecule: long non-coding RNA, 3124 nt
Filed under: Homo sapiens (human)
Lineage: Eukaryota; Metazoa; Chordata; Mammalia; Primates; Hominidae
Description: HSALNT0374047
Source: RNAcentral
GUUCUGCUUUCAGCAGCUACUUUUCUGGUUUGAAGGGGGGAAGGAAAAAAAAACUGGGGAGAACUAGGCGGCUUUCUGAUCAGAGUUCAGAUAAAAAGGGUCACAGUAAUUUGUGGGCACUGACUAAAAUAACCCAAUGGAUUUGAGAGUUACCGCAAAAGAAGCAAACAGACAAACUAAAGAGGUAUAACUCCUACUUGAAGAGUGUGAGAGAAUAUUUACUACUCGGAUGUUUGAGACAUACCAAAAAAUGCUUUUUGAUCCUUUAUCAAGAAGACGUAAUGACCAAGAUUGAUAAAGAAAAAUGCAAUGGUUACUUUACCUGCAACCAUCUCAAAGACGCUCUAAUGUCAUUUCAGAGGACUUCAGCCAUGAACUUGGUGAUGAGCCAGAGAAGGUAACUUUUCAUCCCCUACAAGACCUAUUCCAUGUUGCAGCUAACCUUAAAGAAAUCAUCACUUGGAACUGAUUCAGAAUCCCAUAUCACAUUUUGUUAUUACUUUUGCCUGGUCUCCUGCUGUCUGGAACAGUUUUUCAGUCUUCCUUCAUUUUCAAGAGUGUGAAAGGAUCCCAAGACCAAAAGUCUGGGAACUGCUGGUUUAGAGUCACAAUACUGACUGCUCAAAAUGACUUUUUAAAGAAGAAAGCCUUAAAAACCCUUGAGUGAAUGGUUGGUAUUUACAGACAAGCAAAUGUAUGGAAGAGAAACGAGAGACCCAGCCUGAAUCUGUUGAAUGAACGAAAGGGGAAAUGCCCUAAGGAGUCAGAUGGAAGAAGUUUUUCUGGGAAGAGCAGAACACAGGAGUUGGGGUGCAGACCUCCUGGAUCACCAGCAGAAGGAAAAGAGCAGUGAGACGUUAAAGUGAUUGAGACAAAAAUGGAAGUAAAACAGCUUAAGGCUUUCUGAGAUCGAGUUCCUGGCAGUGUCAUCAGCAGAUGGUUUCUUCUGAAGUUCAGGGGAAGAGAAGAUGCUCGAAGAACUCUCCAGGGACUGAGUGGGUGGUACAGAGCUAGUGCUGUAGAUGCCAUGUAUACAGGCAAAUUCCCCAAUGAGUGUUUUCCAAUAUCAAGUUUAACUGGCAUUUAAGAUAUAUGCCAAAGGUAGGUAAAUUAUUUUGGCCUGUGCUUAUAGGUUUAUUUCCCUGGAUGAAGCUUUCUGUCUCUGUCCUAGUGCACUGUAGCAGAUGCAGGGUCUUUCCAUACAAUACAUUAAAAGCUGCAUCUCAUUUUAAAUAUAUUAUAGAAACCCUGAUCAUACAAUACAUACAAGAUUUUUAAGAUCAGCCUUCAGUCGAUUUUUUUGCUUUAUUUUUGUUCUGGAGGUCAAAAUGAGUGGUUAACUGUCUAAGUUGAUUGCAGAGAAAGUUACUACUCAUUCUAAACGUAGGUUUUUAGAAAAGUGUUCUUGGCAGUUGCUACCAUUGGCUUUUUCCAACUUACAUGGGAAUCAAGAUUCAGAACUGGUACACCAAUGGGAAGAGCCUGGAAAAUAGACUAUUGAUCAAGAUGAAUCUGGUCCAGAUACUUUAAGACCUUUUCAGUGUGUUUUUAAGAUUAUAAGUUUGAACUAACAGAAACUUCAAUGCUGUUUUUUCACAAGUCAAUGUGUAGUGUACUGUUAUUCUUUUUUUUCCUGUAAUAUCUUAAUAAUAUUCCUGGCUGUAAGAAAAAGUUAACACUAUACCUAUGUUUUGACUUACUUUAUAGAAGACCCAAACAAUAUUUAACAAAAGGAUUUUUCUCAAAUACUAUUUUGAAAUCACUAUAUUAGACACUAUCUUAAAUUUAUUUCUCAAUUUGCUUCUUUUUGAAACUUCCACAUUUUGGUGUUCUUUUCAGCAUCACUCAUUUUCUUUCAUAAUAAAGAUACCCAAUAACAAUAUCAUAAUAAAGAUUUGAUAACAAAUCUCCAGUUUUGGAGUGUUACAUUUCAUAUCUACAUGCUUACAGAGAAUUUAGUAUGAAUAUUCCCUGGCCUUAGUUCCUCUAAGCCUAGGAUACUUGUAGUCAUUUGGCAAAUAAUUUAAUCCAUGGCAAACAUGAGUCUUAAUACAAAAAUUAUUGAGUAGGCAAAAAAUAAUUGAACAUAUUUUGGACUGAUUACCAGUGCAUUAAAAAAGUAGAGGUUUAAGGAUGAGAAUAAUAAGUUUUUUUGUUUUUACUUAAAUUUAUAUAAAAGGAGUGAAAAUACAGUAGCCUAUAGUACUUAAGAGUGUGGGUAUAUUUUCAGCACUUAAUAAUUACUAGUUGAAUUGCAUAAUAUGGGACUAUAACUGAUAUGGUUUGGCUCUGUGUCCCCGCCCAAAUCUCAUGUUGAAUUAUAAUUUCCAAUAUUGGAGGAGGUACCUAGUGGGAGGUGACUGGAUCAUUGGGGGAAAUUUCCCCCUUGCUGUCCUCAUGAUAGUGAGUGAGUUCUCACAAGAUCUGAUGGUUUAAAAGUGUGUGGCAUUUCCCCCUUUACUCUUUCUCUCUCCUGCUGGCCAUGAGAAUAAGUGCUUGCUUCCCAUUCACCUUCUGCCAUGCUUGUGUUUCCUGAGGCUUCCCAGCCAUGCUUCUUGUUCAAGCUGCAGAACUGUGAGUCAAUUAAACCUCAUUUCUUCAUAAAUUACCCAGUCUCAGCUCUUUAUGGGAGUGUGAGAAUGGACUAAUAAAAUAUCUCUAGAAUUAUGUUUUUGGAGAUAAUUUAAAGAUAAACAAAUAUUGGAAACCUCAUUUGAUCACACAGAGAACAGUAAAUGGAAGUUCUACUUUUUCUCCAGGGCCUUUCUCAUGCUUAUGCAGGGAUUAUUCACCCAGAUAUCCUGAAAUAAGACAUCCAAUUAAGGUACCUGCUAUCUCAUGUAACACAGAAGAAAGUUGAGCAUAGAGGUUAAACAUUACCUAAUAUUGUUGGAAAAGCUUCGAAGCGUUCAUUUUCAAAGCAGCUAAUGUAAACCAUGAUAAUCACUAGUAGCACUAUGCCAUUUUAAAUACUUCAAUAUUUUGUAGUUAUUAGAUUCUAAGUAAGUAUAAAAUGUAGUGAAUACAAAUUUUAUUUGCCUAAACAGUGUUAGACAAUAUAAAUUAACGAGUUAUUUUUUAUUCUGUUUAAUAUUUUCAAGCCAAUAAACACUUUACUAAAGUA